Long non-coding RNA from Mizuhopecten yessoensis (Yesso scallop), 330 nucleotides. RefSeq lists it as uncharacterized. The transcript is spliced from 3 exons. The record is from RefSeq and is a predicted model, not a curated record. NCBI's taxonomy places the organism in Eukaryota, Metazoa, Mollusca, Bivalvia, Pectinida, Pectinidae.
AGAACGUCAAAUUUAUCCAAGCUUUCGUGUCACCGCGAUCGAUAUACACUUUCGCGCCAACAUGGACGAUUCUGAAAGGUGUAUUUGAUUGAGAGGGCUCACUCUCAUUCCUUGGCAACCCCCUAUAUCAAUUAUCAAUCCAUGUUAGGAAUUGCAAUGGAUGAAGACGUAACAGAUAAGGGAAAUGAGCAGAUAUCAAAUGAUUUGCAGUCUCCCCAGAGAUCUAUCUUGGAUUUCUUCAAAUCCCCAGACAAAAUCAAACCUGCCAAGAAGCCCACCAGUCUUCUCUCCUUCUUCGGAACAGCACAGCAGAAGGACACAGAAAAACAA